Molecule: microRNA precursor, 87 nt
Filed under: Callithrix jacchus (white-tufted-ear marmoset)
Lineage: Eukaryota; Metazoa; Chordata; Mammalia; Primates; Cebidae
Also listed under: 2 other names
Description: mir-7 microRNA precursor family
Rfam family: mir-7 microRNA precursor family
About the family: This family represents the microRNA (miRNA) precursor mir-7. In this case the mature sequence comes from the 5' arm of the precursor.
Source: Rfam by way of RNAcentral
CGGCUGCCCCGUCUGGAAGACUUGUGAUUUUGUUGUUGUCUUACUGCGCUCAACAACAAAUCCUAGUCUCCCGAAUGGUGCCAGCCA